GGGCGGUUAGCUCAGCGGUAGAGCACUGCAUUCACAUUGCAGGGGUCACAGGUUCAAAUCCUGUACCGCCCA
RNAcentral lists this transfer RNA (72 nucleotides) under bacterium. RNAcentral describes it as "tRNA-Val". It matches the Rfam family "tRNA". From Rfam's summary of the family: Transfer RNA (tRNA) molecules are approximately 80 nucleotides in length. The record is from RNAcentral.